CCUACGGGUGGCAGCAGUGAGGAAUAUUGGUCAAUGGACGAGAGUCUGAACCAGCCAAGUAGCGUGAAGGAUGACUGCCCUAUGGGUUGUAAACUUCUUUUAUAUGGGAAUAAAAUGUUCCACGUGUGUGAUUUUGUAUGUACCAUAUGAAGAAGGAUCGGCUAACUCCGUGCCAGCAGCCGCGGUAAUACGGAGGAGCCGAGCGUUAUCCGGAUUUCUUGGGUUAAAAGGGAGCGUAGGUAGAUUAUUAAGUCAGUUGUAAAAGUUUGCGGCUAAACCGUAAAAUUGAGUUGAAACUGGGAGUCUUGAGUACAGUAGAGGUAGGCGGAAUUCGUGGUGUAGCGGUGAAAUGCUUAGAUAUCACGAAGAACUCCGAUUGCGAAGGCAGCUCACUGGACUGCAACUGACACUGAGGCUCGAAAGUGUGGGUAUCAAACAGGAUUAGAUACCCCGGUAGUC
Molecule: ribosomal RNA, 459 nt
Filed under: uncultured bacterium
Lineage: Bacteria
Description: partial 16S ribosomal RNA
Rfam family: Bacterial small subunit ribosomal RNA
Source: RNAcentral